Brachypodium distachyon (stiff brome) is the source of this 916-nucleotide long non-coding RNA. RefSeq lists it as uncharacterized. The record is from RefSeq and is a predicted model, not a curated record. The transcript has 2 exons. Lineage: Eukaryota; Viridiplantae; Streptophyta; Magnoliopsida; Poales; Poaceae.
AGUUUCACCUAUAUGUACUGAUUGGGGAGAAAAUACUUUCUACUGUACACAGAAACAAGACCAUAAGGGAUUUAUGAUACGAAGCCAGUUGGCCCUGGGGGAGUUAUACUGACAGAAGCUAAGAUGGAGAUACCAAGGUCCCCAAUGGAAAUCACUGUUCUUUGUCAUGAUUUUUACUAUGCAGACUGCUAUGCGAACUUCUAAAGGUACUUUAGUCUGUAGCUUUGUGGUGAUAAAAAUAAGUGCCAUAUGUUUCCUAUGCAAUGGGAAUAAGGAAACAAUCAGGUGAUGAACCGACUUGAUGUAUUCAGUCUUUACUGAUGACUGGUAACAGCUUUUGGAGAGGGGAAGAGCCGCAAAAAACGGCAAAAAAGAAUGUAUCCUGAACAGUCAAGAGCCGCCUGUAGUUGUGCAAAGUAAACUAUAGUCAAGCUACAAAGUGAGCAAAUACCAAAUGCUAGCUAGUUAUCCUGCAUCUGUCUUUUCUUUCGUUGACCUAUCUGCCAUGGGGCUGAAAUUUUAGAAGUCCCACCCACAUUAUUUCAUCCAGUAUCUCAUUUCCAUCUCAUAUCCUUUCCUUGAUGAGCAUGCUGCAAUCUCCAUCUUUGCCACCUCGAAGUCACAUCGUGCGAGAUGGAUGCCCAGGGCAAUCUCGACUCACUCCUGGGCCGCCUCACUGCAGCCGCUGGUGAACUAAAUACUGGUGCUGUUGAUGACAGAAAUGAAGCCAUUUACAACAGUUGGAGUGAUUCCUUUUUCAGAGUAUACGAUAAUUUUCACCUUUACGAUGUCGCUACUAAAUACUAAUAGUGCUGCGAUAAUAACCCGAAGUUGCUCAAAUCCUUUUACCUCUAAACAGUUUGAAGAAUAUUGUCUUAAACCAUGCCGCUGUGAAACCUGUUCCAAGUUUUUCCGA